This 468-nucleotide ribosomal RNA is filed under the name uncultured bacterium. RNAcentral describes it as "partial 16S ribosomal RNA". It matches the Rfam family "Bacterial small subunit ribosomal RNA", at positions 28 to 507 of the family's 1533-position model. The record is from RNAcentral.
GACGAACGCUGGCGGCGUGCUUAACACAUGCAAGUCGAACGGAAAGGCCCUGCUUUUGUGGGGUGCUCGAGUGGCGAACGGGUGAGUAACACGUGAGUAACCUGCCCUUGACUUUGGGAUAACUUCAGGAAACUGGGGCUAAUACCGGAUAGGAGCUCCUGCUGCAUGGUGGGGGUUGGAAAGUUUCGGCGGUUGGGGAUGGACUCGCGGCUUAUCAGCUUGUUGGUGGGGUAGUGGCUUACCAAGGCUUUGACGGGUAGCCGGCCUGAGAGGGUGACCGGCCACAUUGGGACUGGGAUACGGCCCAUACUCCUACGGGAGGCAGCAGUCGGGAAUAUUGCACAAUGGGCGGAAGCCUGAUGCAGCAACGCCGCGUGCGGGAUGACGGCCUUCGGGUUGUAAACCGCUUUCGCCUGUGACGAAGCGUGAGUGACGGUAAUGGGUAAAGAAGCACCGGCUAACUACGUG